GUAGAGCACUGUUUGGACGAGGGGCCCCUCUCGGGUUACCGAAUUCAGACAAACUCCGAAUGCCAAUUAAUUUAACUUGGGAGUCAGAACAUGGGUGAUAAGGUCCGUGUUCGAAAGGGAAACAGCCCAGACCACCAGCUAAGGUCCCAAAAUAUAUGUUAAGUGGAAAAGGAUGUGGCGUUGCCCAGACAACUAGGAUGUUGGCUUAGAAGCAGCCAUCAUUUAAAGAGUGCGUAAUAGCUCACUAGUCGAGUGACACUGCGCCGAAAAUGUACCGGGGCUAAACAUAUUACCGAAGCUGUGGAUUGUCCGUAGGACAAUGGUAGGAGAGCGUUCUAAGGGCGUUGAAGCAUGAUCGCAAGGACAUGUGGAGCGCUUAGAAGUGAGAAUGCCGGUGUGAGUAGCGAAAGACGGGUGAGAAUCCCGUCCACCGAUUGACUAAGGUUUCCAGAGGAAGGCUCGUCCGCUCUGGGUUAGUCGGGUCCUAAGCUGAGGCCGACAGGCGUAGGCGAUGGAUAACAGGUUGAUAUUCCUGUACCACCUAGCAUCGUUUUAAUCGAUGGGGGGACGCAGUAGGAUAGGCGAAGCGUACGAUUGGAUUGUACGUCUAAGCAGUGAGAUUGAGUGUUAGGCAAAUCCGGCACUCUUAAGAUUGAGCUGUGAUGGGGAGAGGAAAUUGUUUCCUCGAGUCGUUGAUUUCACACUGCCGAGAAAAGCCUCUAGAUAGAUAAUAGGUGCCCGUACCGCAAACCGACACAGGUAGUCAAGAUGAGAAUUCUAAGGUGAGCGAGCGAACUCUCGUUAAGGAACUCGGCAAAAUGACCCCGUAACUUCGGGAGAAGGGGUGCUCUUUAGGGUGCAAGCCCAGAAGAGCCGCAGUGAAUAGGCCCAAGCGACUGUUUAUCAAAAACACAGGUCUCUGCUAAACCGUAAGGUGAUGUAUAGGGGCUGACGCCUGCCCGGUGCUGGAAGGUUAAGAGG
This 981-nucleotide ribosomal RNA is filed under the name Streptococcus equi. RNAcentral's name for it is "partial 23S ribosomal RNA". It matches the Rfam family "Bacterial large subunit ribosomal RNA", at positions 902 to 1884 of the family's 2925-position model. Lineage: Bacteria; Bacillati; Bacillota; Bacilli; Lactobacillales; Streptococcaceae. The record is from RNAcentral.